Molecule: ribosomal RNA, 434 nt
Filed under: uncultured bacterium
Lineage: Bacteria
Description: partial 16S ribosomal RNA
Rfam family: Bacterial small subunit ribosomal RNA
Source: RNAcentral
AGCGAACGCUGGCGGCAGGCCUAACACAUGCAAGUCGAACGAACCUUUCGGGGUUAGUGGCGGACGGGUGAGUAACACGUGGGAACGUGCCUUUAGGUUCGGAAUAACUCAGGGAAACUUGUGCUAAUACCGAAUGUGCCCUUCGGGGGAAAGAUUUAUCGCCUUUAGAGCGGCCCGCGUCUGAUUAGCUAGUUGGUUGAGGUAAUGGCUCACCAAGGCGACGAUCAGUAGCUGGUCUCAGAGGAUGAUCAGCCACAUUGGGACUGAGACACGGCCCAAACUCCUACGGGAGGCAGCAGUGGGGAAUCUUGCGCAAUGGGCGAAAGCCUGACGCAGCCAUGCCGCGUGAAUGAUGAAGGUCUUAGGAUUGUAAAAUUCUUUCACCGGGGACGAUAAUGACGGUACCCGGAGAAGAAGCCCCGGCUAACUUCGUG